UCGGGAAUAUUGCCCAAUGGACGAAAGUCUGAGGCAGCAACGCCGCGUGCGCGAUGAAGGCCUUCGGGUCGUAAAGCGCUUUUCGGGAGGAUGAGGAAGGACAGUACUCCCGGAAUAAGGAACGGCUAACUACGUGCCAGCAGCCGCGGUAAAACGUAGGUUCCGAGCGUUAUCCGGAUUUACUGGGCGUAAAGCGUGUUCAGGCGGCUUCGCAAGUCGGGCAUGAAAUCUCUCGGCUCAACCGGGAGGGGCUGUCCGAUACUGCGGGGCUUGAGGGCAGUAGAGGGUGGUGGAAUUCCGGGUGUAGUGGUGAAAUGCGUAGAGAUCCGGAGGAACACCAGUGGCGAAAGCGGCCACCUGGACUGUACCUGACGCUCAAACACGAAAGCUAGGGGAGCGAACGGG
RNAcentral lists this ribosomal RNA (405 nucleotides) under uncultured bacterium. RNAcentral's name for it is "bacterial SSU rRNA". It matches the Rfam family "Bacterial small subunit ribosomal RNA", at positions 355 to 776 of the family's 1533-position model. The record is from RNAcentral.